RNAcentral lists this transfer RNA (72 nucleotides) under Capra hircus (goat). It matches the Rfam family "tRNA". From Rfam's summary of the family: Transfer RNA (tRNA) molecules are approximately 80 nucleotides in length. Their secondary structure includes four short double-helical elements and three loops (D, anti-codon, and T loops). RNAcentral also lists the same sequence under 1 other name. The record is from Rfam by way of RNAcentral. Lineage: Eukaryota; Metazoa; Chordata; Mammalia; Artiodactyla; Bovidae.
UCCCUGGUGGCUCAGAUGCUAAAGAGUCUGCCUGCAAUGCAGGAGAUCCAGGUUUGAUUCCUGGGUUGGGAA